Molecule: long non-coding RNA, 6455 nt
Filed under: Homo sapiens (human)
Lineage: Eukaryota; Metazoa; Chordata; Mammalia; Primates; Hominidae
Description: non-protein coding lnc-UGCG-4:3
Source: RNAcentral
AGCUAGAGUAUGAUGGAUUUUCUUCCAGUUUUGAGCUGGGCCAGGUGGCUCACGCCUGCAGUCUCAGCUAUUAAGGAGGCUGAGGCAGGAGGACUGCUUGAGCCCAGGAGUUCCAGACCCGUCUGAGCAAUACGGCACUGUCUUCAGCUCCUACAUGGGAUGAGGACUUCAGAGCGCAGAAGUCGACAGGCUCCCAUGAUUGUGUCAAGGCAAGAGUCAAGACCCACUGGAGGGCAGGGACCAUGUCUGCAUCUGUCUUUUUCACUGCUGCAUCCUCACGGCUCAGGACACUCCCUGGUACAAAGCAGAUGCUUAAUAAAUACUCAUUGGAUGGACAAAUGAAUGGAUGGACAGAUGAAUGAAUGAAUGAAUGAAUACACAAAUGAAUCAGAUCAGAGAUCAGAGAGGAAAAAACUGCUUACGUUUUUAACACGUAGAUGUGUUGCUUUUUGUGAUCUUUUCUACUUCUCUUUAGUGAGUAGCAAUAAAAUCAGUAAGGAGAAGAGGGUCUGUGUGUUGGUUUUCUGGAGGAGGAAGAUGGGAAGAUUUCCCUCUGCCCUGUGAUCAGGCUCUGAAUGGGGAGAGUUGUCCCAGGACACAGAGCAAGUGGUGAUAGCAUGUGAUGGAGGGAGGAAAGGAACACCUGCAGCAUAGGGAGGAAAGGAACAUAGAGCUGGCUGGAGACUGAGAAACCACUACUUGUUCUAUGUCCUGAGAGAGAGGGGGGUUGAGCAGGAGAAAGGGCUGCUGGGGUUUUCCACCUGCAGGCACCACGGCUGAAAGGCCUCCUGCCCAGGUCCUACCUCUGACUCAGUACCGACCUUAGGUAAGGCCCUUUCCCCAUUUAUGGCCAAGUCAGAAGAUGUGGCCCAGUCUGAGGUUAUCAAAAGGCAGAAGCCUCAUGAAUACACCUGGUUAUUAGCUCUGGCAGUGUAAAACCAACAGCAGCACCAACCACAUGGUGUGAGCUUCCUCCUCCACUUCUCUGUUCAGUUUCUCUUCCUGCCUGUUUUCUCUGCUGGGUGGGCAGUUCAGAAGGCUUGGGCCUACCAUGCCCCAAACAGAAGAGGCUGCUUUCCUUCCCUUCUGAGCAGCCACAGCAGUGUGAACCCAGAUGUGUAUCUGUCACCUUUUCCUCACUCCCAUCCCGAGCCCAUGUGUCCCAUGAAAAUGAGCCAUGAACCCCCCUUUGGACGGUGGGAAACUUGAUGACAGGUCCAGGUCCCCGAUUUGCAAAACAAAUUGCCUCUUCUCUUUCUUCCAGCCCAUGCGUCUCUCUUUGGGCAAAAGUUAAUUCUCACCAACCUCUAUCAACCUCCUCGGGUUGACUUCGCUAUGCUUUUUCUGGAAAUUUGUGCUUCCCCAUUUCUUAGAGCACAGCAAACUUGGGGUGCCCUGAAGGCUGAGACAGGGGCAGGGUGUGAGCAGCACUGGGCCUCUAAGGAUGCUCCUCCUUGUACAUUCCUGCCACAUUGUGGGGACACAAUCCCCAUCAGCGUGAUGAUGUCAUAAUUGGGGUGGGCGAGAUAGGGAAGUUCAUUGCCUGUUGCAUCCUUCCUGGCACCAUCUUGGGACUCUUCCCACUCAUUUGCUACUCAGGAUCCAGGGUUUUCCCAGACCAAGACACAGAGGAUCAGAUGUUCAGCCAUACCUACUCCCUUGUGGAGGUGCCAAUCAUAACUAAGGUGUACUGAGCAUUGACCUUGUUUAACCAGACAUUGUUGUAUCAAACACUUUAUCUUCAUUAACUCGUUUGAUGCUCAUAACAAUCCUACAAGGCUUGUCACAUUAUUCUUUUCACCUUUAAAAUGAAAAAAAAAAAAAAAAAAAAACAAGCUUAGGAAGGUAAUUUGCCCAAAGUUACCCAGCCACUAAGUGGUAGAGGCCCCACACACCCCUCCCACCAUGACCACAUCUUCUUUUUUUUUUUUUUUUUUUUUUUACAGAGUGAUAGAGUCUCACUCUCACUCUGUCACCCAGGCUGGAGAGCAGUGGUGUGAUCUCGGCUCACUGCAACCUCUGCUUCCCAGGUUCAAGUGAUUCUCCUGCCUUGGCCUCCUGAGUAGCUGAGAUUACAGGCAUGCACAACCACGCCUGGCUAAUUUUUGUAUUUUUAGUAGAGACAGGGUUUCACCAUGUUGGCCAGGCUGGUCUCGAACUCCCGACGUCAGGUGAUCCACCCACCUCGGCCUCCCAAAGUGCUGGGAUUACAGGUGCGAGCCACCGUGCCCAGCCAGCCACAUCCUCUUAUAAAGUGGAGGGGUGGAGGAAGGAAGGAGGUCUCUACAAGGGUUUCCUUUUGGGUCUAACGAUUAGUGAGCCCUCUCUAGGGAAGGAAAACCAACAUCUGUGCAGAACUUCAGGCUGGUGAGGAAGAUGUUGAUCCCAAUUAGAAUCUGGCAUCUGGCACUUGCAAUAAAUACCAGGGCACCUGCUUGUGUCCGCAGAAUCACCCCAGCCUUUGUGCCAGAAAGAAAACACUCUUCACUGGAUCCUCAAAGGAGUCCAGUCUCUGGCCCAGCUCUCAGGGAGCUCAUGGUCUGGUGGAGGUAAUGAACUCCUCUCCCUCACUCCACGUCUCCCUAAUUCACACCUCCUUCCUCUGAAAAGACUCCCUUCCAGGCCUUGACUAAAAGGGUCCCUGUCCUGAAGAACAACCACUGAGCUACAGACUCAAGGAACAAGUCCUCAUGAUCCAUCAGUCCCCUGUCCCCCCGUCAGCCUUGAUACCAUAUGACCUCAACCACUCUGCCUCCAGGGAACUCACAGGUCACCUGAAACUGAUACCACCUGGCUGAACUCCGCCCUCCAGUUUAUGUGCCUGUAUGAAGUCUGAUUUGACUGCAACAAGCCUUUUGACUAAAAUUGGGAUGUAUAUGUGUGCAGACUGCACAUAUCAAUUCUCGGAAGUUUUUUUUUUUUUUUCUCUCGGCUGGGCGAGGUGGCUUAUACCCGUAAUCCCAGCACUUUGGGAGACUGAGGUGGGUGGAUCACUUGAGGUCAGGAGUUCAAGACCAGCCUGGUCAACAUGAUGAAACCCCAUCUCUACUAAAAUACAAAAAUGAGCUGGGUGUGGUGGCGGGUGCCUGUAAUCCCAGCUACUCGGGAGGCUGAAGCAGGAGAAUCGCUUGAACCUGGGAAGCAGAGGUUGCAAUGAGCCGAGAUCGCACCAAUGCACUCCAGCCUGGGCAACAGAGUGAGACUCCAUCUCAAAAAAAAAAAAAAAAGAAGUUUUUUUCUUGUGGCAGAGCAAGAGUGGAAAAUAUUGUGUAUUUUAAAAGUCAGCUUUAUUCCCCGUUUUAAAAUCCUGAGACCUAAACUUUUGUUCCUACGCAGUCAAACCUUUAACCUCCACUUCCUGUGUUCUUUAGCCUUCUUCAAUAGAAAAGCUGCUAGCGAAUUGCCCCCAUGCACUACACACAGGUUUAUUUUUUCUAUGUAAAGUAUGUCCUUGUGGUUUGAGAUGCCUUAUGAAGAUGGAACUGACUGACCUCACUGAUGGCCUGAAUGUGGAGAGUGAGAGAAAGGGAGGAAUCAGGAAUGAUACUGAGAUUUUUGGCCUGAGCUUAUGGAUAUAAAAAGGAUUAAUGGAAGGGAGUUUCCAGUAAGCAACUCACAAUUCCACUUCCUGAAAAAGGAGUACUCUAUCCAAGAAAUUAUAAGCGGGAAACUUGGGAAGGAUUCCCCAUCUCCUUAAUAUGGAGGAGAGGUCAGGAGGCAGGGGCAGGCUGUGAGACUCUUGGGACCCGCUGUGCUUGUGUCACUUUUUUUUUUUUUUUUUUUUGAUACGGAGUCUGGCUCUGUUGCAGAGGCUGGAGUGCAGUGGCGCGAUCUCGGCUCAUUGCAACCUCCACCUCCCGGGUUCAAGUGAUUCUCCUGCCUCAACCUCCCAAGUAGCUGGGACUACAGGCACCUGCCACCACACCAAGCUAAUUUUUCUUAUAUUUUUGGUAGAGAUGGGGCUUCACUAUGUUGGCCAGGCUGGUCUCAAACUCCUGACCUCAGGAGAUCCGCCUGCCUUGGCCUCCCAAAGUGUUGGGAUUACAGGCAUGAGCCGCGGCGCCCGGCCUUCUGUCACCUUUUGCUAAUGCAGAUCAAUAGCGGUCAGGAGCAGUUUCCGUGGUAGGAAAAGAUUCUGGGGUGCAGAGGAGGCAGAGGCCCCCGGAAGGAAGCUGCACACCACCACACCAUGUGCUUUGAGGGGCAGUUAAGCCAAAACUGGCCUCUGACGUGGUUGUUUUACCAAAUGCAGAAAAGAGACCACAAAGAGCAAAGUCUCCUAAUUAGGACUGCUCUUGGUCCAGCUCCUUGCAGUCUGCCAUGCCAGUCAGGUCAUGGGGGUUAAAGGUUUCCUCUUUAAGGAAAUACCUGAAGUACAGGAAUAAUGCUAAUGACAAAAAUGCCAGGCAAAGAUGAGGUGGUAGGGGAGCUAUGUGGGGGCAAUGGGAACCUUCUAUUGGGUUCUUCAAGUUAGACCACAGAGCUCCCCCUUCUGAACACCUGAACAUGGGCAGUUUUUAGAAACCAGCAUAACUGAUGUGAGUUUUACUGCACUGUACUCAGGUUAAAAAAUGUCACAUUUAUUUCUACAAGUAAGAGAAAUGUAGCCAGGUGUGGUGGCUCACGCCUGUAAUCCCAGCACUUUGGGAAGCCGAGGCAGGUGGGUCACUUGAAGUCAGGCGUUCAAGACCAGCCUGCCCAACACGGUGAAACCCUGUCUCUACUAAAAAUACAAAAAUUAGCCAGCGGACACCUGUAAUCCCAGCGACUCGAGAGGCUGAGGCAAGAUAAUCGCUUGAACCGGGGAGGUGGAGGUUGCAGUGAGCCAAGAUUGUGCCCCUGCACUCCAGCCUGGGCGACAGAGAGACUGUCUCAAAAAAAAGAGAGAGAAAUUUGCACAGAGCCCUCACCCACUUGGUGAGUGGAAUAUUCCAUCUCAGUCAUAAUUCUGUUGUCCUGUCUUUCUUUUCCUUUUUUUUUUUUUUUAGAUGGAGUUUCACUCUUUUUGCCCAGACUGGAGUGCAAUGGCACGAUCUAGGCUCACUGGCAACCUCUGCCUCCCGGGCUCAAGUGAUUCUCCUGCCUCAGCCUGCUGAGUAGCUGGGAUUACAGGCAUGUACUACCAUGCCUGGCUAAUUUUUUAUAUUUUUAGUAGAGACAGGGUUUUGCCAUGUUGGCCAGGCUGGUCUCGAACUCCUGACCUCAAGUGAUCAGCCCACCUUGGCCUCCCAAAGUGCUGGGAUUACAGGCGUAAGCCACUGCACCUGGCCAAUGAUGAAUCGUUUAGCUAUAGAGACUCAAGGCCCUUCACAACGGAAGGCAUGGCAGAAGCUCUCACCCACAUUGCACGUGAAAGAGGCCCUGCUCAGAAUGGCCUCUCCCUGCUCCUUCACAAACCUAGCGUCACCCUUCUAGCUUCUGAAGAGAAGGCCAGAAACCCUCAGGAAUAUUCAUGCAGUUCUGGCCCCAGAAUGGCUCAUGCCAAACUUUAGUAUGCUUGAGAGACGGCAAUUCUAACCAGGCCACUGAACGCUCAACCACAAGAGAGGUGAACUCUCCACCGCCAUCAUCCAUCACUCCUCUCUUUACCUCCAUCCUCUUUCUACUCUGCGCCCCUACCUGCCCUCAGUCUGGACCUAAGACUUCUUAGGCUCUUCAGUAAGCCCUGGAGAUCUCUCGUUUAGCAAAAAGACUGACCCCAGCCUUGGGUUGACUAGGUCCCCAGUUCAGGCAGCUGAGUGACACAAGAUCAUGAAGGAAGGGCCAUCUGGCUCAGGCCUGCUUUCCCGUUGCCACCAACUGUCCCUGACAUUUCACAGUUCCCAUUUGGCAGCCACCAGUACCAAACGAAUGUGAGAAAAAGAAGCCCCUGGUCCACACAAAACCCACAGUAGCUUAUUUUCAGGCCACAGCUGAGGCCUGUUAAGCCUAAGUGGCAAAACCUGCCAUGUCUCAUAUCCUUAUUUUUAUUUUAUUUAUUUAUUUAUUUUUUUUGAGACAGAGUUUCGCUUGCCCAGGCUGGAGUGCAAUGGCACAAUCUUGGCUCACCGCAACCUCUGCCUCCCAGGUUCAAGCGAUUCUCCUGCCUCAACCCCCCGAAUAGCUAGGACUACAGGCAUGCGCCAGCCCGCCAGGCUAAUUUUGUAUUUUUUAGUAGAGACAGGGUUUCUCUAUGUUGGUCAGGCUGUUCUGGAACUCCCUACCUCAGGUGAUCUGCCCACCUCGGCCUCCCAAAGUGCUGGGAUUACAGGCGUGAGCCACCGCGCCUGGCCUCAUAUCCUUAUUUUUAUCUCUCCUUUUCCAUUGCUGCCAGCCAAUAUGGCCUAGAAGAUUUUUUGCUUUGGGGAAUGUAUGAUCAUAUUUUUCUGGCCAAAUAAUUGGUGUCUUUAAUAUUUCAUGGGCAAGGGAUUCCAAUUAAUAAAGCAGAUUGAAUGCAUAAAUGUAUUGCUCUUCUU